Pelobates cultripes (western spadefoot toad) is the source of this 237-nucleotide non-coding RNA. Lineage: Eukaryota; Metazoa; Chordata; Amphibia; Anura; Pelobatidae. The record is from the annotation of a GenBank genome assembly.
CAUCACCAAAAGAAAUGAAGACAGGACCCUGUUUUAGGAUUUGGAUUAAUAAUUCUGCCAUACCAAAGAGGCAAAUAUCCAUGCCUUUCAGCAUGACCUCACUAGUAGUGACAAUUAUCUCCAAGAGAUCCACUGUUGCAAUGGAGAACAAAUUGCCCAGACUACUGUCAGGAUCUGUUCUGCUAUGUUCUGAUGUCUGACUUGGCUUCUGGUAUCCAGUACUCUUUUUAUUCUUGC